Molecule: long non-coding RNA, 875 nt
Filed under: Homo sapiens (human)
Lineage: Eukaryota; Metazoa; Chordata; Mammalia; Primates; Hominidae
Description: non-protein coding lnc-TMEM43-3:2
Source: RNAcentral
CGAGACGCGUCGCCAAGUCAAGAUACCCCGGAGCUCAGUUCGUUCCUCAGCCUGAGCGGUGCCCACGAUGAUGGAAGACUUUGCAAGACCCCUCCUGGGUCGUUUCGAACCGAGCUGCCCUAGAGCUGUCGGGUAGGUGAGGGGGAGACAGGUGCACGAGCUGACCUCGUAGGUGACCGAAGAAGGGGAGGGAAGCAGGCCCGAUGGAGCCGACCUGUACCCGACGCAACCCGCUGUGGGCCGAAACGGGAGCUAAGCCAGAUGGAACAAACGACCCCCAACCCGAGCCCGGCGGGGCGAACAGGACAUCCCGCGUUGUUCCACCUGCCAAAGAGGGCGAGCGCGCGGGCCGAUCGGAGCAGAGCGAGAGGGCGGGGCCAAGCGGAGCGGAUGGGGCCAAGUGGACGAGCCGAGGGAGUGGGGCGCAGCCGAAAGUAGCCGAGUGAAGCCGAACAGAGACGAGGCGCGGGUCGGGUGGUGCCAAGCGGAAAUGAGUGGGGCCGAGCGGGGCAGGGUGGAGCCGAGCGGAGCCGGGUGGAGCCGAGCGGAGCCGAGCGAGUGAGAAGCCGGAGGCCGAGAGGGCCGGGCCGACUUGAAGAGUUUUGGACAAAGAUGAAGAAACAAAUCUAGAGACUGGAUGACCUUGGAUCUCAGCUGUGAACCAAAGCCGUGGAGAUGAAGGAACUCUGGGAGUGAGUGAGGGAAGAGCAGUUGGUAUACAGACAGGGUGUUCCAGCUGCAAGAGGAGGGGAAUGCAGGAAUUGUCUUUUAAAUUUGUUAUCUGCACCUGAACUACACGUAUUCUUUAUCCUUGUGAAAAAUAAAAAUAAUUGCAGAUUAGGCUGAAAUCCAGCCUUCACAGAGGUAUCUGCUGU